Cucurbita maxima (winter squash) is the source of this 1823-nucleotide long non-coding RNA. RefSeq lists it as uncharacterized. NCBI's taxonomy places the organism in Eukaryota, Viridiplantae, Streptophyta, Magnoliopsida, Cucurbitales, Cucurbitaceae. The transcript has 3 exons. The record is from RefSeq and is a predicted model, not a curated record.
AUUAAAUAACUUUUUCGAUGCACUUCCAAGUCUGAAGUAAGAUUAAAGAGUUGAAUAAAACGACGAUAUCAUCUUACACUGGGAAGAUGGAGGGAAUCAACGGUAAAAGAGAAAAACCGACGUAUUUGAAUUUUGGCGCUUCAUUCGUCGGUGAAGAGAGGGCAUAAAUGUCUUUUCACAUUCAACUAGGGCAAAAAAAAAAAAAAAAAGGGUUUUUGUAUGGACCAUGGUGGGAAGUGGAAAGUAAAUUGGUUCUAUCUUUUGGAAUUUCCCGGAGAGUUUCAUAUGAUCGUUUGUAAUUAGACAAAAUAUGAAAGAUUUGAGCUUCCAUUGUCGCCCACCCACCAAAGACGGCCAAUGCUGCCCCACCAUGGCCGCACCAUCAUCAUCCUCUGCCAUCUCCUAUCGUCCUGUGCUCUUCAUCUUCCCCAUUCUUUUCUUUCUUCUUCACGUGAGCACCACAUGGGUCCCCUCUUUUCGCAUUCAAUUCUCCACCAGUUGGGUUUAUAUUAUAAUCAGAAACAGUGAAGCACGUGGAGAAAAUAGGACAAAUGCUUCCACUCAGCGGAUGCUUCCCAACAGCAAAAUGAUGAAGACAGCUCAGACUGGCCCAUUGCUAUCUGUUGGUCUUUAGUAAUUUGAACUUUUUCAGCUGUCUGGGGGGAAUCAUUUGAUGCAGCUGAAUCAUCCAAUGAGUGCUGGUGACUACUGAGUCUUGUUGAACAAUGUAAGUUCUUUCUUCCACAUGUAUUGCUUACAAACUAGACAAGGCUAGGUCUCCAAACUCGUUAUCGUACUUAAUCGUCGUUUUCUACUACGCAUGUUUCUCGUUUCAUUGUCUGUUUAGGUCCGUUACGUAUCGUUAUCAGUCUCAUAGUUUUUGUUUCGUUGUACCAGCCCAAGUCCACUGUUAGUAGAUAUUGUCCGCUUUGGUAUGUUAGAUAUCGCUGUCAGCCUCACAGUUUUUGUUUCGUUGUACCAGCCUAAGUUCACUGUCAGUAGAUAUUGUCCGCUUUGGUCUGUUACAUAUUGUUGUCGACCUCACAGUUUUUCUUUCGUUGUAACAGUCCAAGUAUAUCGCUAGUAGAUAUUGUCUGCUUGAGGCCAUUACAUAUUGUUGUUAGUCUCACAGUUUUAAAAUGUCUCUACUAGGGAGAGGUUUCAAACUAGACAAGGUUAGGUCUCCAAACCCGUUAUCAAAGUUAAUCGUCACUUGCUACUACGCAUGUUUUGUUGUUUCGUUGUACUAGCUCAAGUCCACCGCUAGUAGAUAUUGUCCACUUUGGUGCAUUACGUAUUGCUGUCAACCCACAGUCUUUGUUUCAUUGUACCAUCCUAAGUCUAUCGCUAGUAGAUAUUAUCCGCUUUGGCCCAUUACGUAUUGUUGGUAGUCUCACGGUUUCAAAACUCGUCUACUAGGGAGAGGUUUCCACACCCUUGUAACGAAUGUUUCAUUCCGUUUUCCAACCGAUGUGAGACCUACAAUCCACCCCCUUGGAGCCGAGCAUCCUCUCUAGCACAUUUUCCUGUGUUUAGCUCUCAUACCAUUUGUAAAGAGCCCAAGUCCACCUCUAGUAUUAGAUAUUGUAUAUUUUAGCCCGUUACGUAUCAACAUCAACCUCACGAUUUUGAAACACGUCUACUAAGUAGAGGUUUUGUUCUCCUCUCCAACUGAUGUGUGAUCUCACAUUCAAGCUUCUUUUUGUCCAAACAUAUUGAUUCUUAACAACGUUGUUUGUUUUUGAUCGUUAGGACAAAACAUAGGUUGUCUUUUGCUCUAAACUUUGCAUAGCUUUGAUGAUGCUUUUGUUUAUUGCUCCAAA